Molecule: unclassified non-coding RNA, 169 nt
Filed under: uncultured fungus
Lineage: Eukaryota; Fungi
Description: sequence contains ITS1
Source: RNAcentral
UUUGUUUAUUUUAUAUUGACUCGGACGCAUGAAUGCAGUGUAAAAAAGCCUCCGGGGCCGCCGCGAGGCGUAACCCCGAAGCAACAGCGUUAAUUCGCAAGGGGUUAGAGAUAGGGCCGUGAGGACCCGUAACUCGGUAAUGAUCCCUCCGCAGGUUCACCUACGGAGA